GAAAUGCGAUAAGUAAUGUGAAUUGCAGAUCUUCGUGAAUCAUCGAAUCUUUGAACGCAUAUUGCGCUCUGUGGUAUUCCGCAGAGCAUGCCUGUUUGAGUAUCAGAAAGCCCAAUCUCACCUGUGGGUGGGGAAAUGAGUUGAAUAAACCCUUCCUUUUUGCAGAAAGGGCAACUUGAAAUGUAGCUAAUGGAGAAGUAAUCCGGUCAUUAACGCGAUAGUUUUGUCACAAAAACAAAUUCGUUUUCUGACUUGGUAACAACGCUCCUAGGAGAUUUUAUUUUCACAAAUCUUGAUCUCAAAUCAGGUAGGACUACCCGCUGAACUUAA
RNAcentral lists this unclassified non-coding RNA (330 nucleotides) under uncultured fungus. Its description in RNAcentral is "sequence contains ITS1". The stretch from base 1 to 105 matches the Rfam family "5.8S ribosomal RNA", at positions 50 to 154 of the family's 154-position model. Lineage: Eukaryota; Fungi. The record is from RNAcentral.